Long non-coding RNA from Antechinus flavipes (yellow-footed antechinus), 745 nucleotides. RefSeq lists it as uncharacterized. The record is from RefSeq and is a predicted model, not a curated record. The transcript has 3 exons. NCBI's taxonomy places the organism in Eukaryota, Metazoa, Chordata, Mammalia, Dasyuromorphia, Dasyuridae.
CCACCUCCUUGCUCUGUCCGUGGCCCUGUUGGGGUUUGGGGUCUUCUCCCUCGUGGGGUCAUAGGCGCUGGGACCCACCUGCCCAGACGAACACCGGCCGGCUAUAAGCCGCACCCUGUCCGGCAGCUGAUAAUCAGCACUAUGGCUCAGCUCAGGAGAGUCAGCUCCGCGGUGUUGACAGCCCCUGGGGGCGGGGGCGCAGGGCUCUCCUGGGCGGCUUCCAUCUGGGGAGCUCUUCUCCGCCCCCCGGCCCCGGCCUCCGCUUCCUCCUCAGAGGGGGGAGGGGGGAAAAAGCCCUACCGAUUACACACGCCUCUACAUAUAAGCCAAUACAUCACUGCCCACAGCGACCCCCAUUUUCAGAAGAGCUUGCACUGACUGGGGACCGUGAUUCUUCGCGGCAGGAGAGCCCCCACAUUUCUGUUGCAAAUGGAGACUCUUGGCAUGUCUGAUACACCUGGAAAUACGGAUCCUCUUCUUCUUUGGCUUCCAUGGUCUUUGAUUUAAGGUUCUCUACCGAUUCUACGUCCCAAGAGCCUAUCUCUGCGUUGGAACUCCCAGCCCUGCUGCCUGCACUUUCCUCUUUCCUUUUUUUCCAUCUGUGGCCCAGAAAAUUUGGGAUACUCAAAGAUUCGAUGAUCAAGCAUCAGGGUUUAGUUUGGGGAUAGAACUCCCCAGCUUCACCUUUGGAAAAGAAAAAAAUAAAUAAAAAUCCCAUCAAAUUUGUACCCUUAACAAGUACAAA